GGCAGGUUGCCCGAGCGGCCAAUGGGAGCGGACUGUAAAUCCGUCGGCGCAAGCCUACACAGGUUCGAAUCCUGUACCUGCCACCA
This 86-nucleotide transfer RNA is filed under the name Actinomycetes bacterium. RNAcentral describes it as "tRNA-Tyr". It matches the Rfam family "tRNA". Rfam says of the family: Transfer RNA (tRNA) molecules are approximately 80 nucleotides in length. Their secondary structure includes four short double-helical elements and three loops (D, anti-codon, and T loops). Further hydrogen bonds mediate the characteristic L-shaped molecular structure. tRNAs have two regions of fundamental functional importance: the anti-codon, which is responsible for specific mRNA codon recognition, and the 3' end, to which the tRNAs corresponding amino acid is attached (by aminoacyl-tRNA synthetases). tRNAs cope with the degeneracy of the genetic code in two manners: having more than one tRNA (with a specific anti-codon) for a particular amino acid; and 'wobble' base-pairing, i.e. permitting non-standard base-pairing at the 3rd anti-codon position. The record is from RNAcentral. Lineage: Bacteria; Bacillati; Actinomycetota; Actinomycetes. RNAcentral also lists the same sequence under 1 other name.